RNAcentral lists this non-coding RNA (198 nucleotides) under Symbiodinium sp. clade D. Lineage: Eukaryota; Dinophyceae; Suessiales; Symbiodiniaceae. The record is from RNAcentral.
AAAGCAAAGAGACCAAAGAGGAAAACAGAACACACCUCCUGAUUGGCCGUGUGUUGUUGUUCUCUUUGUUCGUUCCGUUUAAUUCGUGCUUUCAUUACAAUUAAACGGAACAGAACAAAUAGAACAAAGAACACACAAGGAAUCAUCAAUCUUAUCCUUUGUUCCUGUUGUGUUUAACUGAAUGAAAAAGGAAUACAA